RNAcentral lists this ribosomal RNA (467 nucleotides) under uncultured bacterium. Its description in RNAcentral is "partial 16S ribosomal RNA". It matches the Rfam family "Bacterial small subunit ribosomal RNA", at positions 28 to 507 of the family's 1533-position model. The record is from RNAcentral.
GACGAACGCUGGCGGCGUGCUUAACACAUGCAAGUCGAACGAUGACGACCGAGCUUGCUCGGUCUGAUUAGUGGCGAACGGGUGAGUAACACGUGAGCAACCUGCCCUUCACUCUGGGAUAACCUCGGGAAAUCGGGGCUAAUACCGGAUAUGAGCUCCUGUCGCAUGGCGGGUGUUGGAAAGUUUUUCGGUGAAGGAUGGGCUCGCGGCCUAUCAGUUUGUUGGUGAGGUAGUGGCUCACCAAGGCGAUGACGGGUAGCCGGCCUGAGAGGGCGACCGGCCACAAUGGGACUGAGACACGGCCAAGACUCCUACGGGAGGCAGCAGUGGGGAAUAUUGCACAAUGGGCGAAAGCCUGAUGCAGCGACGCCGCGUGAGGGAUGACGGCCUUCGGGUUGUAAACCUCUUUCAGCAGGGAAGAAGCGAAAGUGACGGUACCUGCAGAAGAAGCGCCGGCUAACUACGUG